RNAcentral lists this ribosomal RNA (406 nucleotides) under uncultured bacterium. RNAcentral describes it as "partial 16S ribosomal RNA". It matches the Rfam family "Bacterial small subunit ribosomal RNA", at positions 29 to 526 of the family's 1533-position model. The record is from RNAcentral.
AUUGAACGCUGGCGGCAGGCCUAACACAUGCAAGUCGAACGAGUGGCGGACGGGUGAGUAAUGUCUGGGAAACUGCCUGAUGGAGGGGGAUAACUACUGGAAACGGUAGCUAAUACCGCAUACCAUCAGAUGUGCCCAGAUGGGAUUAGCUUGUGGGUGGGGUAACGGCUCACCAAGGCGACGAUCCCUAGCUGGUCUGUGAGGAGGACCAGACACACUGGAACGGAGACACGGGCCAGCCUCCUACGGGAGGCAGCAGUGGGGAAUAUUGCACAAUGGGCGCAAGCCUGAUGCAGCCAUGCCGCGUGUAUGAAGAAGGCCUUCGGGUUGGAAAGUACUUUCAGCGGGGAGGCGUUACCCGCAGAAGAAGCACCGGCUAACUCCGUGCCAGCAGCCGCGGUAAUAC